Molecule: long non-coding RNA, 968 nt
Organism: Uranotaenia lowii
Lineage: Eukaryota; Metazoa; Arthropoda; Insecta; Diptera; Culicidae
Exons: 3
Source: RefSeq, a predicted model, not a curated record
UGUACGUCAACAGUUAAUUAGAAGCUAGAGUAUAAACCGAAAAAAUAGCUUCAACUAGCCAUUAGCAGGAUAGUUGCUAUUUCACCGAGUUCCUGCUGGAGAAAGGUAACGCGAUGGCAGAACCGAUAAACCGGAAGACUGGUCACUUACUGGAAGGGACCAUGGACAAUGUGUUGUUGCCUAAUCACCUUCAUAUCGUUACAGAUUCCUAUUGUGUCGUUUCCCUUUAAGAGAAAGGCCGGCGCAGAGGCUGAUUCGACGCUGUAGAAACAUCAAGCAUUGAUCUAAUUCCGAUGCUAACAAUUAAGAUAAGUAUUCAAUUUCUUGGCACUUUUUUCAGAAUUAUUUUGUUGCUGUUGAUAAGAUCCCGAAAUUAAGGAAAACCACCUAAUGUUCCAGUUAGAGAUGUACUAGCUGUGCUAGAUUUGGACUACAUGUUCGAAAUCUACCUUUUUCUAAAAGCUAUCGAUCUUCGUCUAUAAUUUCUUUUUUUAUUUUCAUAUUUCCCUUUUCUACCUUCCUUCCUCCUCUCACAAAGUGUUAAGUUAAGAAAUCAAUUGUAAACAACAAAAUCGAUUUUGGCUCCUUAAAGCCUAAAGGUAUGAGCCGUUUCAAAUAAAGAAUUGUUAAAAAAAAAAAAAAAAAGAUCCCGAAAUGAAUACAAGAAAUCUAAAAGUAAUUUGAUUUCGGUAUUGAAAUUGAUUUACAAUAUCUUUCUUCGAAUUGAAUUUAGAUGUUGUACCUAUUAGUAUUUUUGUUCAUGAUCUAGAUAGAAAUGUUAUAUUCGAGACAUGACAAUUUUUUAUUCCAUCUUUUAUGUUAUCAGACGAAAACAAAUUCUCACAGCUUGGAAUUGAUUUUUUUUGCUUGGUUCUGGAACGAAAAUUUAAUUAGAAACUUAGGUAUCGACAAGAUAGCACUGUAGGGAAUAAUAUGAGAUAAAAUAUCUGUGCUAGAAUAGACCAAAA